This 400-nucleotide long non-coding RNA is filed under the name Phaseolus vulgaris (common bean). RNAcentral's name for it is "long non-coding RNA (PVUL_LNC000895)". Lineage: Eukaryota; Viridiplantae; Streptophyta; Magnoliopsida; Fabales; Fabaceae. The record is from RNAcentral.
AACUUUUGUGAGGGGGUGGGGACAUAAUAAUUUUUGAGACACUCAUAUUAGUUUGUUGUGAACGAUGAUAAAAUUUAUAGGAAUUGCAUUCCUUUAUUCGUUUGUCAUUUUUUGGUGGAAGUUUUUUGAGACACUCAUUUUUUGGUCAAAUUAAACUAAAGCCAACAGAAGCAAAAGGAUACCACAAAUUACAGAAUGAUCACAUGGGUUCAAUGCAUUGGUCAUAAAUAAACAAGAACAAAAUCUAAGUAUUUAAUCUUACAUAUAUCAUAAACAAAUCUACGUUUCCAGAUAAUUAAACACUGAUACUCCCCCCAGCUCAACACUAGCUAGUACCUGCAACAACCCACAAAUUUUUUCACUUCAAUUAAACCAAAAAAUUUCAUAGUUAUAGUGAACC